This 431-nucleotide ribosomal RNA is filed under the name uncultured bacterium. RNAcentral's name for it is "partial 16S ribosomal RNA". It matches the Rfam family "Bacterial small subunit ribosomal RNA", at positions 29 to 505 of the family's 1533-position model. The record is from RNAcentral.
AACGAACGCUGGCGGCAUGCCUAACACAUGCAAGUCGAACGAGACCUUCGGGUCUAGUGGCGCACGGGUGCGUACCGCGUGGGAACAUGCCCUUAGGUUCGGAAUCACUCCCCGAAAGGGGUGCUAAUACCGGCUAAUAUCUUCGGAGCACAGAUUUAUCGCCUUUGGAUGGGCCAGAGUUUGAUUAGCUAGUUGGUAGGGUAAAAGCCUACCAAGGCGACGAGCCAUAGCUGGUCUGAGAGGAUGAUCAGCCACAUUGGGACUGAGACAGGGCCCAGACUCCGACGGGGGGCAGCAGUGUGGAAUAGUGGACAAGGGGCGAAAGCCUGAUCCAGCGAUGCCGCGUGAGUGAUGGAGGCCUUAGGGUUGUAAAGCUCUUUUACCCGGGAUGAUUAUGACAGCACCGAGAGAAUAAGCGCCGUCUAACUCCG